Molecule: ribosomal RNA, 253 nt
Filed under: uncultured bacterium
Lineage: Bacteria
Description: partial 16S ribosomal RNA
Rfam family: Bacterial small subunit ribosomal RNA
Source: RNAcentral
UACGUAGGGGGCAAGCGUUGUUCGGAUUCACUGGGCGUAAAGGGUGCGUAGGCGGUCGGGUAAGUCUGGCGUGAAAUCUCCAAGCCUAACUUGGAAACUGCGUUGGAUACUAUCCGGCUCGAGGAAUGGAGGGGAGACUGGAAUACUUGGUGUAGCAGUGAAAUGCGUAGAUAUCAAGUGGAACACCAGUGGCGAAGGCGAGUCUCUGGACAUUUCCUGACGCUGAGGCACGAAAGCCAGGGGAGCAAACGGG